RNAcentral lists this transfer RNA (77 nucleotides) under Bacillota bacterium. Its description in RNAcentral is "Firmicutes bacterium (anaerobic digester metagenome) tRNA-Arg". It matches the Rfam family "tRNA". Rfam says of the family: Transfer RNA (tRNA) molecules are approximately 80 nucleotides in length. Their secondary structure includes four short double-helical elements and three loops (D, anti-codon, and T loops). Further hydrogen bonds mediate the characteristic L-shaped molecular structure. tRNAs have two regions of fundamental functional importance: the anti-codon, which is responsible for specific mRNA codon recognition, and the 3' end, to which the tRNAs corresponding amino acid is attached (by aminoacyl-tRNA synthetases). tRNAs cope with the degeneracy of the genetic code in two manners: having more than one tRNA (with a specific anti-codon) for a particular amino acid; and 'wobble' base-pairing, i.e. permitting non-standard base-pairing at the 3rd anti-codon position. Lineage: Bacteria; Bacillati; Bacillota. The record is from RNAcentral.
GCGCCGUUAGCUCAGCGGAAUAGAGCGACUGACUACGGAUCAGUAGGCCGGGGGUUCAAAUCCUCCACGGCGCACCA